GAAAUGCGAUAAGUAGUGUGAAUUGCAGAAUUCAGUGAAUCAUCGAAUCUUUGAACGCACAUUGCGCCCCUCGGUAUUCCGUGGGGCAUGCCUGUUCGAGCGUCAUCUACACCCUCAAGCUCUGCUUGGUGUUGGGCGUCUGUCCCGCCUUCGCGCGUGGACUCGCCCCAAAUGCAUUGGCAGCGGUCCUUGCCCCCGGCUCCUCUGCGUAGUAGUAACACCUCGCACUGGGACGGAGCGAAGGCCACGCCGUAAAACAACCCAACUUUCUGAAUGUUGACCUCGGAUCAGGUAGGAAUACCCGCUGAACUUAAGC
RNAcentral lists this unclassified non-coding RNA (316 nucleotides) under plant metagenome. RNAcentral describes it as "partial contains 5.8S ribosomal RNA, internal transcribed spacer 2, and large subunit ribosomal RNA". The stretch from base 1 to 105 matches the Rfam family "5.8S ribosomal RNA", at positions 50 to 154 of the family's 154-position model. The record is from RNAcentral.